GACGAACGCUGGCGGCGUGCUUAGCACAUGCAAGUCGAACGGAAAGGCCCUGCUUUUGUGGGGUGCUCGAGUGGCGAACGGGUGAGUAACACGUGAGUAACCUGCCCUUGACUUUGGGGUAGCUUCAGGAAACUGGGGCUAAUACCGGAUAGGAGCUCCUGCUGCAUGGUGGGGGUUGGAAAGUUUCGGCGGUUGGGGAUGGACUCGCGGCUUAUCAGCUUGUUGGUGGGGUAGUGGCUUACCAAGGCUUUGACGGGUAGCCGGCCUGAGAGGGUGACCGGCCACAUUGGGACUGAGAUACGGCCCAGACUCCUACGGGAGGCAGCAGUGGGGAAUAUUGCACAAUGGGCGGAAGCCUGAUGCAGCAACGCCGCGUGCGGGAUGACGGCCUUCGGGUUGUAAACCGCUUUCGCCUGUGACGAAGCGUGAGUGACGGUAAUGGGUAAAGAAGCACCGGCUAACUACGUG
This 468-nucleotide ribosomal RNA is filed under the name uncultured bacterium. RNAcentral's name for it is "partial 16S ribosomal RNA". It matches the Rfam family "Bacterial small subunit ribosomal RNA", at positions 28 to 507 of the family's 1533-position model. The record is from RNAcentral.